Molecule: ribosomal RNA, 404 nt
Filed under: uncultured bacterium
Lineage: Bacteria
Description: bacterial SSU rRNA
Rfam family: Bacterial small subunit ribosomal RNA
Source: RNAcentral
CUAGGAAUCUUGCGCAAUGGACGAAAGUCUGACGCAGCGACGCCGCGUGCGGGAUGAAGGCCUUAGGGUCGUAAACCGCUUUCAGCAGGGACGAAAUUGACGGUACCUGCAGAAGAAGCCCCGGCCAACUACGUGCCAGCAGCCGCGGUAAUACGUAGGGGGCGAGCGUUGUCCGGAUUUAUUGGGCGUAAAGAGCUCGUAGGCGGUUUGGUAAGUUGGAUGUGAAAUCUCCAGGCUCAACUUGGAGGGGUCAUUCGAUACUGCCAUGACUAGAGUUCGGUAGGGGAGUGUGGAAUUCCUGGUGGAGCGGUGAAAUGCGCAGAUAUCAGGAGGAACACCCGUAGCGAAGGCGGCACUCUGGGCCGGAACUGACGCUGAGGAGCGAAAGCGUGGGGAGCGAACAG